This 284-nucleotide long non-coding RNA is filed under the name Brassica napus (rape). RNAcentral's name for it is "long non-coding RNA (BNAP_LNC006502)". The record is from RNAcentral. Lineage: Eukaryota; Viridiplantae; Streptophyta; Magnoliopsida; Brassicales; Brassicaceae.
AGGGGGGGUUACGGAUUACUCUUACUCAUAGCCACAAAACGCUUGAUCGAAACGAUGUUUGGAUAUAUGAAAGACAAACUCGCAGCACUGACUGCUCCUAUGGCCAACGCUUACGCAAACGCCGUGGUUUUCAACAAAAUCGAAAACUUAGUCGCGACCUUCCGCCACAGGAAGAGCACUAUAACAAGCUCGCGAUUCCUCCUGUAAACAAGAAGGGAAACGAUAAAUCUUAUCAAAACCUCGUAAACAAAUCUCGAUGCAUAAGGGUUUUACCAAAACACGUU